GACGAACGCUGGCGGCGUGCUUAACACAUGCAAGUCGAACGGUGAAGCCCUUCGGGGUGGAUCAGUGGCGAACGGGUGCGUAACACGUGAGCAACCUGCCCCUGGCUCUGGGACAACCACUGGAAACGGUGGCUAAUACCGGAUACGACCCGCCUCGGCAUCGAGUGUGGGUGGAAAGUUUUUCGGCUGGGGAUGGGCUCGCGGCCUAUCAGCUUGUUGGUGAGGUGAAGGCUCACCAAGGCGACGACGGGUAGCCGGCCUGAGAGGGCGACCGGCCACACUGGGACUGAGACACGGCCCAGACUCCUACGGGAGGCAGCAGUGGGGAAUAUUGCACAAUGGGCGAAAGCCUGAUGCAGCGACGCCGCGUGAGGGAUGACGGCCUUCGGGUGGUAAACCUCUUUCAGCUCCGAAGAAGCGAAAGUGACGGGAGGAGCAGAAGAAACACCGGCUAACUACGU
Molecule: ribosomal RNA, 461 nt
Filed under: uncultured bacterium
Lineage: Bacteria
Description: partial 16S ribosomal RNA
Rfam family: Bacterial small subunit ribosomal RNA
Source: RNAcentral